This 1108-nucleotide long non-coding RNA is filed under the name Salmo salar (Atlantic salmon). RNAcentral describes it as "lncRNA (ENSSSAG00000090258.1, ENSSSAG00020013856.1)". The record is from RNAcentral. Lineage: Eukaryota; Metazoa; Chordata; Actinopteri; Salmoniformes; Salmonidae.
AUGGGAAAGAGGAGAGAACCAUUUGAACCGCUGCAUCCCUAAAGUGGAAUUGAAUAUUGCUUUUGUAAUCUCGCAGACGGAAGGCCUUUGGUCAUGCAUUGGGUUCUGAUGGCUGGUGCUGAUGCAGACUGGUAACACGCACCUCAGGGCUAGUGCGAGGAGCAGGAACAGGACGUACUGGACGGGCCAGGCGCACUGGAGGCCUAAUGCAUGGAACUGGCUUUGGAGGUGCCAGUUCCAUAGCCGAUCAUUGAGAGUAUCUCUACCGCUCCUGCUGUCUCUAGAGAGUUGAAAACAGCAGGUCUGGGACAGGUAGCAGUCCGGUGAACAGGCCAGGGUUCCAUAGCCGCAGGCAGAACAGUUGAAACUGGAGCCGCAGCACGGCCAGGUGGACUGGGGACAGCAAGGAGUCAUCAUGCCAGGUAGCCCUGAGGCAUGGUCCUAGGGCUCAGGUCCUCCGAGAGAAAGAAAGAAAGAGAGAAAGAAUUAGAGAGAGCAUACUUAAAUUCACACAGGACACCAGAUAAGACAGGCGAAAUACUCCAGAUAUAACAGACUGACCCUAGCCCCCUGACACAUAAACUACUGCAGCAUAAACACCGGAGGCUGAGACAGGAGGGGUCAGGAGACACUGUGGCCCCAUCCAAUGAUACCCCUAGACAGGGCCAAACAAGCAGGAUAUAACCCCACCCACUUUGCCAAAGCACAGCCCCCACACCACUAGAGGGAUACCUUCAACCACCAACUUACCAUCCUGAGACAAGGCCGAGUAUAGCCCACAAAGAUCUCCGCCACGGCACAACCCAAGGGGGGGGGGGCAACCCAGACAGGAAGACCACGUCAGUGACUCAACCCACUCAAGUGACGCACCCCUCCUAGGGACGGCAUGGAAGAGCACCAGUAAGCCAGUGACUCAGCCCCUGUAAUAGGGUUAGAGGCAGAGAAUCCCAGUGGAGAGAGGGGAACCGGCCAGGCAGAGACAGCAAGGGCGGUUCGUUGCUCCAGAGCCUUUCUGUUCACCUUCCCACUCCUGGGCCAGACUACACUCAAUCAUAGGACCUACUGAAGAGAUGAGUCUUCAGUAAAGACUUAAAGGUUGAGACCGAGU